GGGGAAGCUUCGAAAUUCUGACUAAACCUGCAACUCUUCGUUUUUCGCAAUCCUGACGUCCAAAUUCUUCUAACGAAUUACCCCGAGCUUUCGUAGGACCUCCUAAAGCUCACUAUGAGCUUAGAAUUCCUUGAAAACAACAUAUUUACGUGUGCAUGAACAAUGCACAAAUCGAGGGUUACGUUUCACGGGGUUUUCGAAGGUUUCAGGUUCUAAAACUUGUACCAAUGGAUUCCUGAGGUCACAAGGAACACAAA
Molecule: long non-coding RNA, 257 nt
Filed under: Malus domestica (apple)
Lineage: Eukaryota; Viridiplantae; Streptophyta; Magnoliopsida; Rosales; Rosaceae
Description: long non-coding RNA (MDOM_LNC006745)
Source: RNAcentral